Tachysurus vachellii is the source of this 488-nucleotide long non-coding RNA. RefSeq lists it as uncharacterized. The record is from RefSeq and is a predicted model, not a curated record. Lineage: Eukaryota; Metazoa; Chordata; Actinopteri; Siluriformes; Bagridae. The transcript is spliced from 4 exons.
UGUCCGUCUACUCCAAGGUGUGUCUACAUCAUAUAUAAAGACGUAGCAGAGCGAUUCUUCAAAGGUGUACUUGUAGAGGUAUCAGUUUCAGUGUUGUUAUUUCUAAGAACAAUAAUAUGGGAGACACAAAUCCAGACAAACCCCCUCAGUGCAAUAAGGGCAAAGAAGGUGAGGGCAAGGCCAAAGGUAAAGGCCCAGAUCACGGCCAUGGACACGGCCAUGGACCAGGUCAAGGUCAAGGCCAGGGAGAGGGUCAUGGCAAAGGUCAUGGUCACGGACACGGUCAAGGUGCACCAGGAAAGGACUGCAAAGGAAAAGGCAAGCCAUAAUGACAAGAAGCUGAGUGAAGAGACGUCUGAAGUCUGGCUGAUGCCGUUAUCUUUCUUCUGUAAAACACUAUGAAUUAAAUCAUACAUGUAUAAGUAAACUGCAUACAUUUGUUUACCAUUAAACGAUAAAAAAUAAAAUAUUCAAUAAUCAAUAACAAA